AAACAUUCUUGCCAAUACAUAAACUAUUAUUAUGAUAUGAAAAUAUACAAAAUUUAAGAUUACAUAUCAUAUUGAAUUCCCAUGAUACAACAAACAAAAAGGUUGCCAGACUUCAGGCAUUUGUAAUAUCCAAUCACAAAAGGAAUCUUAAUCUCAGCUGGGUACAAUUAUGCAGAAAGGCGUCGAAUCCCUGUCCCCAAUUAUCCAAUCACGAGAAUCGUUUUCAAGCUUCCUGCUUCUCCCAAACUUCUUCAGUUUCAUGAAAACUCAGCACACACCUCGGUUUGCUUCCACUGCACUCAUUCUUUUCUUUUGUUCUUGUUUCUUCUCUCUCAUUGGUUUUAUAUCCACGUAACUUAGUUAAUAACAUAAGCUUCCACUAUAGCAUGACCAAUAACUAAUACAAUUUACAUACAAGGGGGUUUUCCCAAUCUACAAUUCUUAUCCGACUUAACUCGGUCUUUAAAUUAAAUCUGAAUCUAAAAAUUAAUAUAAAUUCAAAAUAUGAAAAGACAUAAAGACAUAACACAAUCGGGAUGUUACAAAAGCAGGGUAAUAGAGAUCCAACACAUUUGCAUAGUGUUGAUGGAUAUAUAUAAAAUUUUGCAGAUGAAAAAUAGAGAUAAUUCAGAUGACAUAAUGAACAAAUGGUAUGCAAUGUGAUUAUGAUUAAGAAUGUGAAUGUGGAAAAUAAAUUUAGAUUGCAUACAGAGCUGCAGGUGGUCUUUUGCAAGCCAAAUACUUGGUGUAAAUCAAAAUAUUGUGCAACAAUUAAUAGUGAGUGAUUUUGUAUUAAAGGCUGCCCUGAUUAAACUGACAUGAUUGAUCAAAAGGUUUUGUGCACAGAGGCUAUAUUUUGCCUAGUUCCUGGGCAUAUGUCGAGUUUAUUUCUAUUUUCCAUCACAUGAUAUGUAGAAUAAGUAGUCGGCUAUGUGAAUUUCAACAGCCAUGGAUGACAAGUUUGUAAUCAUAUUAUCACAUAAGAAGGUUACAACAACACAUAUUAUUUUUCUUAUGACUUCAAAACAUACAAAUGAUUGUAUACCAUAUUAAAUUCCCUGAAAUGAUAAAAAAGAAAAGCAGCCCACACAACAACAAUUUUCAUUAUUUAACAACAAAAGUAUGCCAAAUUAACUUGACAGUGUUGAACAACCAAGAAAUAAUCUAGAACAACUCAGUUUGAAGUCUAUGGAGUUGUUGCAGUAAGACAAAACAGUAUCAGUAACACGAACAAUCGAGAUAAAACCAGUCAUAUAGGAAGAUACUUAUUUAAUGGUUAAGCUUUUGGGAUCCGGUGAAACCAGCUCUGAAAGCCUUCAUAGAGAAACAAUCAAAGUGAAUAAAUUUAAAUCCAUAAUACGCUGAUUAUAAAAAGAAACCCGACUUACAUCUACAUUACCCAAGCAAAUACCCCUAUAUUGUGUGUAUCCCGUUUUAUAAUUUCAUCCCAUUGUAUAAUUUCAGAGCCCUAAUAUACCCACUCUAAAAUUACACAAAUUAGUUAUUCACAAGCAUGCUAACUAAGAUACUCAAGUUUGCGAUUCUUAUGAAACACCUACCUCAAUCUUCACUGACGCGUUCAAUCACCAAUAUCUGAAUCUCGACCGACGAUUUGACCUUCUUAAAAUCCCCUUCAAUACAGCUCGUGUACGAGUUCUCUUCUCAGUUCAUCAAUGGACGAUGCGAUUUCCAAGUUCUCCUCUCUUACCCCAGCGUCUGGAUAUAAAAAGCCUAAUUAACGACUUACCAUCACAAACCCCUUAACGACAUGCUGCCGACGAUUUUUCUAACCCUAGUUUUUUUUUUUUUUUUGAAAAGCCUGGUGAUGCCGGUGACCAGUUAACAAC
This 1847-nucleotide long non-coding RNA is filed under the name Citrus maxima (pomelo). RNAcentral's name for it is "long non-coding RNA (CMAX_LNC000131)". The record is from RNAcentral. Lineage: Eukaryota; Viridiplantae; Streptophyta; Magnoliopsida; Sapindales; Rutaceae.